RNAcentral lists this ribosomal RNA (331 nucleotides) under uncultured bacterium. RNAcentral's name for it is "bacterial SSU rRNA". It matches the Rfam family "Bacterial small subunit ribosomal RNA", at positions 570 to 898 of the family's 1533-position model. The record is from RNAcentral.
CGUAGGCUGAUAUAUAAGUCGAUUGUGAAAUCCCCGGGCUUAACCUGGGAAUUGCAGUCGAUACUGCAUAUCUUGAGUAUGGUAGAGGAAAGUGGAAUUCUCGGUGUAGUGGUUAAAUACGUAGAUAUCGAGAAGAACACCGGUGGCGAAGGCGACUUUCUGGGCCAAUACUGACGCUGAGGCGCGAAAGCGUGGGGAGCAAACAGGAUUAGAUACCCUGGUAGUCCACGCUGUAAACGAUGAGAACUAGAUGUUGUUUAAUAAUUAAUUAAGCAGUAUCGCAGCUAACGCGUUAAGUUCUCCGCCUGGGGAGUACGGUCGCAAGAUUAAA